RNAcentral lists this ribosomal RNA (489 nucleotides) under Enterobacter hormaechei. RNAcentral's name for it is "bacterial SSU rRNA". It matches the Rfam family "Bacterial small subunit ribosomal RNA", at positions 30 to 505 of the family's 1533-position model. The record is from RNAcentral. Lineage: Bacteria; Pseudomonadati; Pseudomonadota; Gammaproteobacteria; Enterobacterales; Enterobacteriaceae.
AUUGAACGCUGGCGGCAGGCCUAACACAUGCAAGUCGAACGGUAACAGGAAGCAGCUUGCUGCUUUGCUGACGAGUGGCGGACGGGUGAGUAAUGUCUGGGAAACUGCCUGAUGGAGGGGGAUAACUACUGGAAACGGUAGCUAAUACCGCAUAACGUCGCAAGACCAAAGAGGGGGACCUUCGGGCCUCUUGCCAUCGGAUGUGCCCAGAUGGGAUUAGCUAGUAGGUGGGGUAACGGCUCACCUAGGCGACGAUCCCUAGCUGGUCUGAGAGGAUGACCAGCCACACUGGAACUGAGACAUGGUCCAGACUCCUACGGGAGGCAGCAGUGGGGAAUAUUGCACAAUGGGCGCAAGCCUGAUGCAGCCAUGCCGCGUGUAUGAAGAAGGCCUUUCGGGUUGUAAAGUACUUUUCAGCGGGGAGGAAGGCGAUAAGGUUAAUAACCUUGUCGAUUGACGUUACCCGCAGAAGAAGCACCGCUAACUCCA